CCCACUGCUAUCGAGGUGGGACUAAGCCAUGCUAGUUGAGCGCACAGAACUAUGUCUGUGAGCGGCACACUGCUCAGUAACACGUAGCUAACCUACCCUUAGGACGUGGACAACCCCGAGAAAUUGGGGCUAAUCCGCGAUAGAUGUAAUGUCCUGGAAUGGUAUUACGUCCAAAGGUAUCCCAUACAUGUUUGGUAUACGCCUAAGGAUGGGGCUGCGGCCGAUCAGGCUGUUGGUGAGGUAAUGGCUCACCAAACCUUUGACCGGUACGGGCCAUGAGAGUGGUAGCCCGGAGAUGGACACUGAGACAAGGGUCCAGGCCCUACGGGGCGCAGCAGGCGCGAAACCUCCUCAAUGCACUUACGUGCGAAGGGGCUACCUCGAGUGCCACCUGAUGAAGGUGGCUUUUCCUAGGUCUAAAAAGCCUUGGGAAUAAGAGGGGGGCAAGACUGGUGUCAGCCGCCGCGGUAACACCAGCCCCUCGAGUGGUGGGGAUGAUUAUUGGGCCUAAAGCGUCCGUAGCCUGCCGUAUAAGUUUCCCGUUAAAUCCAGCGUCUCAAGCGUUGGACUGCGGGAAAUACUGUACGGCUAGAGAGUGGGAGAGGUCAGCGGUAUUCUGGGGGUAGGGGCGAAAUCCUUUGAUCCCCGGAGGACCACCAGUGGCGAAGGCUGCUGACUAGAACACGUCUGACGGUCAGGGACGAAAGCUGGGGUAGCGAACCGGAUUAGAUACCCGGGUAGUCCCAGCCGUAAACGAUGCAUGCUAGGUGUUGGGUUGGCCACGAGCCACCCCAGUGCCGCAGGGAAGCCGUUAAGCAUGCCGCCUGGGAAGUACGAUCGCAAGGUUGAAACUUAAAGGAAUUGGCGGGGGAGCACCACCAGGCGUGAAGCCUGCGGUUUAAUUGGAUCAACGCCGGA
This 918-nucleotide ribosomal RNA is filed under the name uncultured archaeon. Its description in RNAcentral is "bacterial SSU rRNA". It matches the Rfam family "Archaeal small subunit ribosomal RNA", at positions 23 to 922 of the family's 1478-position model. The record is from RNAcentral.